GGGCGGCGUGCCUAAUACAUGCAAGUCGAGCGAAUUUCUUAAGAAGACUUGCUCUUAAGAAAAUUAGCGGCGGACGGGUGAGUAACACGUGGGUAACCUGCCCAUAAGACUGGGAUAACUCCGGGAAACCGGGGCUAAUACCGGAUAGCAUUUUGAACCGCAUGGUUCGAAAUUGAAAGGCGGCUUCGGCUGUCACUUAUGGAUGGACCCGCGUCGCAUUAGCUAGUUGGUGAGGUAACGGCUCACCAAGGCGACGAUGCCUAGCCNACCUGAGAGGGUGAUCGGCCACACUGGGACUGAGACACGGCCCAGACUCCUACGGGAGGCAGCAGUAGGGAAUCUUCCGCAAUGGACGAAAGUCUGACGGAGCAACGCCGCNUGAACGAUGAAGGCCUUCGGGUCGUAAAGUUCUGUUGUUAGGGAAGAACAAGUNCAAGUUGAAUAAGCUUGNACCUUGACGGUACCUAACCAGAAAGCCACGGCUAACUACGUGCCAGCAGCCGCGGUAAUACGUNGGUGGCAAGCGUUAUCCGGAAUUAUUGGGCGUAAAGCGCGCGCAGGUGGUUUCUUAAGUCUGAUGUGAAAGCCCACGGCUCAACCGUGGGAGGGUCAUUGGAAAAAUGGGAAACUU
Molecule: ribosomal RNA, 631 nt
Filed under: Bacillus sp. SP30
Lineage: Bacteria; Bacillati; Bacillota; Bacilli; Caryophanales; Bacillaceae
Description: bacterial SSU rRNA
Rfam family: Bacterial small subunit ribosomal RNA
Source: RNAcentral